This 3327-nucleotide small RNA is filed under the name Pan troglodytes (chimpanzee). Its description in RNAcentral is "retained intron". The record is from RNAcentral. Lineage: Eukaryota; Metazoa; Chordata; Mammalia; Primates; Hominidae.
AAGCUGCUGAGUGUGUGGCAACCUGGUUAGAGCAAUGGAAAACCGAGGCCCCUGCCAUCCUGCUGAGCUCGGUGAGGUUGUAUUUGAAGAAGCAAGCAAGCCGUAACCUCCUGGCUGUCCACCGCAGCCCACUCCUCACCACAGUUCUUCAUUGAUGAAGCAGCCCUCAGCCAUGGCCUGGGGGCACUGGGCCCCUGGGUCCUCCAGACCACUGACAUCUCUUUAAAUGACUCAGCUCGGCCCUGGUUCUCGUCUCACCAGUGGCAUUGUCUGUAAGAGAAAUCAGAGGGUCUGUGGGGAAAGUCAUAACCUGUACUGGGGCAUCAGGGUUUGGUGGCUGGGCCACCAGAAUGUGCAAGGGCAGGUGUGGGGAGGGGGCAGCAUGAUGGGGGCAGACCCAUGGGGCUUCCCACAAGUGCACAACCCCCUCUGGCAAGUCCUGUAACCCCGUCCUUUCCUCUGGGGCGGCCUGGAUGGGAAUAUUAGAAAGGCUCGUGGGUUCGAGUUUGCCUGUGGGGUUUACACAUUAACAAUCACAGACCAAGGGCUUGAGCUCUAGGCUCAGCAUCCUCAGACACACUAGGAAUAAAACCCACCUCCCACCCAGGCUGAAGCGAUGCUGCACCUGGGGCUCCAGAGCAGCGGAGUCCGUGGUGAGACCAGACCCCAUCAGAGGGCUGCUCUGCAAAGAGCCCCAUGAGGAGGCCUGGUGUCUGAGCAUGGGAGGCUUCACACAGCAGGGAGGGGACAUCUAUAUAAAGCAAAGAACUGCCCCCCAGGGAGGCCCAGGCAUGAGCACAACAAAGCUCCAAGCCCUGCCUAUGGGGCCUGUUCCACCCUUAACUGGCAACAAUGGGGAGGUGGGCAGCUGAUGCGAGCACUGUGGAGACCGAGUCACCGGGCUCUGGACUCAGGACAGGCAGCAGCAUAGCCGGGGUGCACUCACGGCCCCAGGAUGGGAAACGUGCUGCUUCAAGCACUCGGCCCGCAUCGGCAAGUGCUUUCUGUAGAGGGCAUAAUGGUCAGUCGUUCAGGCUUUUGGGGCCACACUGCCUCUGUCACAGCUACUCAGCUCAGCCACUGCUACACAAAAGAUUGUCAAUGAAUGAGUGACUGUGGUCCCGGAUAAAUGCUGGAUGUGGCCCUUGGGCUGUAGUGCACCAACCGUCCCCUGAGGUCACGUUUACCCUGCGUUAGAAAUAGCCCUGGCCGGGGUCCCUCUCUGCGCAGGCUGGGCCAGGACCGUCCGAGAGGGGCAGGAAUUGUGGGGCAUCUCUCCCACUCCCCGAGGGUAAGCAGGCAUGGCCACAUAUAGGUGACAGCAGCCUUCUGGUCAGCUCGAGUCAGGUGUGUCACAUCCCUGGGUGGAGUCUGGCCUGGACCCCAAGCCUACAGCCAUUGCAGCCCGGCAGCCACUGGAGAGAGAAGACUGACACAGCUCUGGGAGCCGUGUUGUGGGGUGGGGGCUGGGUGCCAGGGCCCAGGAGGGUGUCCAGGUGAGCUGCAGGAAGCCUCGGAGGCCUGGCCCCUGAUCCUGGACUUGCUCCUGCCAACUGGCCAUGGCUGUCUCUGCCCUCCCAGGGCAAUAGUGAGGUCAGACAGGAGAAAAGACAUGCAGACACUCAGCCCCUGUGUCAGGGAAUGGUGGGCGACACAGCCUCUCCACAGAGGACCGAGGCUGAGGGGGUGGGAAGGAGGUGCAGGGAGGUGAGGGUUCUGGGAAGGGAGCCCGGAGUGGUGGAGCCUCUUCCCCAGACUUCAGCAGGAACGGUAUCUUCCCACAGGUGUGGUGAGAACUGCUUGAGCUGUGCAGGCUCCAGCAGGAACUGUAGCAGGUGUAAGACGGGCUUCACACAGCUGGGGACCUCCUGCAUCACCAACCACACGUGCAGCAACGCUGACGAGACAUUCUGCGAGAUGGUGAAGUCCAACCGGCUGUGCGAACGGAAGCUCUUCAUUCAGUUCUGCUGCCGCACGUGCCUCCUGGCCGGGUAAGGGUGUCUAGCUGCCCACAGAGGGCAGGCACUCCCAUCCAUCCAUCCGUCCGUCCACUUUCCUCCAGACUGUCGGCCAGAGUCUGUUUCAGGAGCGGCGCCCUGCACCUGACAGCUUUAUCUCGCCAGGAGCAGCAUCUCUGGGCACCCAAGCCAGGUGGGUGGUGGCUCUUAAGGAGGUGUUCCUACAAUGGUGACAUCCUCUCAAAUGCUGCUUGUUGGCUCCAGUCUUCUGACAAACUGUAACAGGAACAAAAUGAAUUCUGGGAAUCCACAGCUCUGGCUUUGGAGCAGCUUCUGGGACCAUAAGUUUACUGAAUCUUCAAGACCAAAGCAGAAAAGAAAGGCGCUUGGCAUCACACAUCACUCUUCUCCCCGUGCUUUUCUGCGGCUGUGUAGUAAAUCUCCCCGGCCCAGCUGGCAAACCCUGGGCCAUCCUCACAUGUGACAAAGGGCCAGCAGUCUACCUGCUCGUUGCCUGCCACUGAGCAGUCUGGGCACGGUUUGGUCAGACUAUAAAUAAGAUAGGUUUGAGGGCAUAAAAUGUAUGACCACUGGGGCCGGAGUAUCUAUUUCUACAUAGUCAGCUACUUCUGAAACUGCAGCAGUGGCUUAGAAAGUCCAAUUCCAAAGCCAGACCAGAAGAUUCUAUCCCCGCAGCAUUCUCCUUUGAGCAAGCCGAGCUCUCCUUGUUACCGUGUUCUGUCUGUGUCUUCAGGAGUCUCAUGGCCUGAACGACCACCUCGACCUGAUGCAGAGCCUUCUGAGGAGGGGCAACAGGAGGCAUUCUGUGGCCAGCCAAAAGGUACCCCGAUGGCCAAGCAAUUCCUCUGAACAAAAUGUAAAGCCAGCCAUGCAUUGUUAAUCAUCCAUCACUUCCCAUUUUAUGGAAUUGCUUUUAAAAUACAUUUGGCCUCUGCCCUUCAGAAGACUCGUUUUUAAGGUGAAAGCUCCUGUGUCUGUGUAUAUUACGAGCCUACAUGACACAGUUGGAUUUAUUCUGCCAAACCUGUGUAGGCAUUUUAUAAGCUACAUGUUCUAAUUUUUACCGAUGUUAAUUAUUUUGACAAAUAUUUCAUAUAUUUUCAUUGAAAUGCACAGAUCUGCUUGAUCAAUUCCCUUGAAUAGGGAAGUAACAUUUGCCUUAAAUUUUUUCGACCUCAUCUUUCUCCAUAUUGUCCCGCUCCCCUGUUUGACGACAGUGCAUUUGCCUUGUCACCUGUGAGCUGGAGAGAACCCAGAUGUUGUUUAUUGAAUCUACAACUCUGAAAGAGAAAUCAAUGAAGCAAGUACAAUGUUAACCCUAAAUUAAUAAAAGAGUUAACAUCCCAUG